GCUGGAGUGAAAUGUGACAUUACAAACACCACCAUGAUCCACUUGGAAACGUGUGUUUUAUUAUUUUAUUUUCCCUAGCAGGGAGGAGAGCCCUGGGCCAGACCAACUCGAAGACGCUGCAUCAGCACGGCAGGUCAAGUGAACACUGAACCUGCAGCAAGCACAGAGCUUGCUGCAUCCUUGGACUCCCUCCUUUCCAGAAAAUUAAGUGAGGACACUCAGAAAGUAGAGAAAGAAAAGGAGACGUCGACUGUACCCCCAUCCUACACAUCAUAGUGAUUUAUACUAAAAUUAAUGGCACUCAGCUGCUCGCCAACUCCGUUCCCACAGCAGCAGGAAUGUCGCACACUGUCUGAGAAAACCUGCACUCCUGAAAGCAGCACAUCUUUUGCAGUAAGAGAAUGCUGAAUAGCUGCAAGCAAACACCAGACACCGGGCAGUCCCUCCUGCAGCACCUGAGACUAUUUGACACUACUGCAAAGGAGGUGACGUGGUCUGAUUGACGGCCGUGUUCAUUUUUGCAAGAAAAAGAGGAAAAAGCCACUGAAGGCAACCUCCAUCAGCUGAACGAGCUAUCAGCUGACACAUCAUCCAUCCUACAGCAGCUCAAGGCAAUACCCACAAUAGUUCAGCGUUGCAAGCAGCCUGUCAGCAAGCAGAAUUCUUGCUGUGCUUUACAGCAUGGAUACGAACUCACCUAGCAUGCCUCAGCAUGCAUUCAUGCUGGCAGUGUAGAUCCUUCCACCAUAAAAGUCAACUGUGCCACCGGAGCAGCCCUGACUUCAACCAGUCUAUAUGAAGGGGGAAAAGUCAUGCGUGUGGUUUACGGCUUUGUUUUCUCAACCUUUUGCAGUGGUGUGGUUGUUCUGUGUCUAA
Molecule: long non-coding RNA, 876 nt
Filed under: Coturnix japonica (Japanese quail)
Lineage: Eukaryota; Metazoa; Chordata; Aves; Galliformes; Phasianidae
Description: lncRNA (ENSCJPG00005001314.1)
Source: RNAcentral